This 1737-nucleotide ribosomal RNA is filed under the name Salmonella enterica subsp. enterica serovar Bareilly. Its description in RNAcentral is "bacterial LSU rRNA". It matches the Rfam family "Bacterial large subunit ribosomal RNA", at positions 1223 to 2925 of the family's 2925-position model. The record is from RNAcentral. Lineage: Bacteria; Pseudomonadati; Pseudomonadota; Gammaproteobacteria; Enterobacterales; Enterobacteriaceae.
GUUGGGUAGGGGAGCGUUCUGUAAGCCUGUGAAGGUGGCCUGUGAGGGUUGCUGGAGGUAUCAGAAGUGCGAAUGCUGACAUAAGUAACGAUAAAGCGGGUGAAAAGCCCGCUCGCCGGAAGACCAAGGGUUCCUGUCCAACGUUAAUCGGGGCAGGGUGAGUCGACCCCUAAGGCGAGGCCGAAAGGCGUAGUCGAUGGGAAACGGGUUAAUAUUCCCGUACUUGGUGUUACUGCGAAGGGGGGACGGAGAAGGCUAUGUUGGCCGGGCGACGGUUGUCCCGGUUUAAGCGUGUAGGCUGGUUUUCCAGGCAAAUCCGGUUCACUUUAAAACUGAGGCGUGACGACGAGGCACUACGGUGCUGAAGCAACAAAUGCCCUGCUUCCAGGAAAAGCCUCUAAGCAUCAGGUAACACGAAAUCGUACCCCAAACCGACACAGGUGGUCAGGUAGAGAAUACCAAGGCGCUUGAGAGAACUCGGGUGAAGGAACUAGGCAAAAUGGUGCCGUAACUUCGGGAGAAGGCACGCUGACACGUAGGUGAAGUGAUUUACUCACGGAGCUGAAGUCAGUCGAAGAUACCAGCUGGCUGCAACUGUUUAUUAAAAACACAGCACUGUGCAAACACGAAAGUGGACGUAUACGGUGUGACGCCUGCCCGGUGCCGGAAGGUUAAUUGAUGGGGUCAGCGCAAGCGAAGCUCCUGAUCGAAGCCCCGGUAAACGGCGGCCGUAACUAUAACGGUCCUAAGGUAGCGAAAUUCCUUGUCGGGUAAGUUCCGACCUGCACGAAUGGCGUAAUGAUGGCCAGGCUGUCUCCACCCGAGACUCAGUGAAAUUGAACUCGCUGUGAAGAUGCAGUGUACCCGCGGCAAGACGGAAAGACCCCGUGAACCUUUACUAUAGCUUGACACUGAACAUUGAGCCUUGAUGUGUAGGAUAGGUGGGAGGCUUUGAAGUGUGGACGCCAGUCUGCAUGGAGCCGACCUUGAAAUACCACCCUUUAAUGUUUGAUGUUCUAACGUGGACCCGUAAUCCGGGUUGCGGACAGUGUCUGGUGGGUAGUUUGACUGGGGCGGUCUCCUCCUAAAGAGUAACGGAGGAGCACGAAGGUUGGCUAAUCCUGGUCGGACAUCAGGAGGUUAGUGCAAUGGCAUAAGCCAGCUUGACUGCGAGCGUGACGGCGCGAGCAGGUGCGAAAGCAGGUCAUAGUGAUCCGGUGGUUCUGAAUGGAAGGGCCAUCGCUCAACGGAUAAAAGGUACUCCGGGGAUAACAGGCUGAUACCGCCCAAGAGUUCAUAUCGACGGCGGUGUUUGGCACCUCGAUGUCGGCUCAUCACAUCCUGGGGCUGAAGUAGGUCCCAAGGGUAUGGCUGUUCGCCAUUUAAAGUGGUACGCGAGCUGGGUUUAGAACGUCGUGAGACAGUUCGGUCCCUAUCUGCCGUGGGCGCUGGAGAACUGAGGGGGGCUGCUCCUAGUACGAGAGGACCGGAGUGGACGCAUCACUGGUGUUCGGGUUGUCAUGCCAAUGGCACUGCCCGGUAGCUAAAUGCGGAAAAGAUAAGUGCUGAAAGCAUCUAAGCACGAAACUUGCCCCGAGAUGAGUUCUCCCUGAGACUUAGAGUCUCCUGAAGGAACGUUGAAGACGACGACGUUGAUAGGCCGGGUGUGUAAGCGCAGCGAUGCGUUGAGCUAACCGGUACUAAUGAACCGUGAGGCUUAACCUUACAACGCCGAAG